Molecule: ribosomal RNA, 391 nt
Filed under: uncultured bacterium
Lineage: Bacteria
Description: bacterial SSU rRNA
Rfam family: Bacterial small subunit ribosomal RNA
Source: RNAcentral
GACGAACGCUGGCGGCGUGCUUAACACAUGCAAGUCGAGCGAGAAACCCUCUUCGGAGGGGAGUACAGCGGCGAACGGGUGAGUAACACGUGGGCAACCUGCCCUAAGGAGCGGGACAACCCGGGGAAACCCGGGCUAAUACCGCAUGUUCCGCUGCGCCUGAAGGCGCUUCGGGAAAUGGUAGCUUCGGCCUCCGCCUUGGGAUGGGCCCGCGGCGCAUUAGCUUGUUGGUGAGGUAACGGCUCACCAAGGCGACGAUGCGUAGCUGGUCUGAGAGGACGAUCAGCCACACUGGGACUGAGACACGGCCCAGACUCCUACGGGAGGCAGCAGUGGGGAAUCUUGCGCAAUGGGCGGAAGCCUGACGCAGCAACGCCGCGUGAGGGAAGAC